Molecule: long non-coding RNA, 527 nt
Filed under: Nicotiana benthamiana
Lineage: Eukaryota; Viridiplantae; Streptophyta; Magnoliopsida; Solanales; Solanaceae
Description: long non-coding RNA (NBEN_LNC032239)
Source: RNAcentral
GCGGCUCUAGUUGGGCUGGCUUGGACCUCCCUCUCUUUCACAUCGGGUGGUCCCGCUAACUCGCUCGUCGCUCUCUCAGCCCCUUCAAGUUGACUUGUACUAUUUAUAUCAUAGAUAGUCCUCCUUAGGUUCCUUCGAUCGCUUCGCUCAAGCGGUCUUCCCUUAUCUUCCCUAACGCUCAGAGUAGUUAUGGUUUGAGAUGAGAAAGGAGCACCGGCCGAACGCAAUGAAUGAAUAAGAAAUUGACAGCAGAGGGAAUCAAUGAUUCUUAUUCGACCGAGUUCUAGCUAGAAAGAUGUAGAUUACACACCGGAGGUUGGUAAGAACUGAGGUUUGGAACCCUAACCUAAGUAGGCCUACCAGCGAAGCAACAGGUACUUGAUCGGGCGGGGGGGCGGUUUGGUUUCAAGGCCCUCGCAGCAGGAAGAAGCAGUUGUCAUUUGAAAGUAAAGGCUCUUCUCCUGUUUUACGAAUCCUACAACUCUCUUUACUGAGCGAGACUCCAUCCAUAUCCCUACUAGUGGUUU